RNAcentral lists this long non-coding RNA (1435 nucleotides) under Hordeum vulgare. Its description in RNAcentral is "long non-coding RNA (HVUL_LNC017114)". The record is from RNAcentral. Lineage: Eukaryota; Viridiplantae; Streptophyta; Magnoliopsida; Poales; Poaceae.
CCAUAUGCAAAUCAAUUCACAAACCAAUUGCAAUUCCAACUCUCCAACAUUUAUAGUGAACUAAGAAGAUUUUCAAGUGUUUUUACUUCGUCCAUGUUCUAAAAUAUAUAAGUGAAGCUAUAGAGAAAUUCUAAAAACAUGUAGCCAUGCAUAUACUCCAGUGUUUUUUCACGAUGUUAUCCAUUGUAAGCAGUAUUUAUGGUGGCACAAUGAUGGUAGGUUAUGUUGUGGUUUUGGUAAGAUUUUGGGGGGCUUAGUUGUAGCAACAAUCUUCCAUUUGUUUAUGGUCAUUUGUAUGUUUGUAGGUCUAGUUGUCGCCUUACAUGGUUGUGGUUGUCUUUUUAUGCCCGUGAGUUCAACUUUCUUUUAGCGGUCUAGGAUUUUUGGCUGGUCAAAGAUUUUUCGAAAUCAUUAAUUGAAGAAUAUACUUUUAAAACAUCAUGGGCACCACUAGCGAUCAGACUACUGAUCCUAGCAUCUUAUCAGACCACUCCGUCACCGUUAGAUGUGAGCAUGUGUGAGUGGUGGAUGAAGCAACGCUGCAUGCUGCCCAUCCCAGUUUGGACUUUCCAAAACUGAAACUAAUUAAUGUGGAGUUUCCAAAACAAAUCCAAUUGACGUAUAUUGUGGUUUGAUUGCUUCCGAAAAUCACUCUUGGAUGCUGAACUUUUGGAAACUGAUUUUGUAUUUGAAGGAAACAAAUUAAUUACCUUAGCGCACUAGGCUUUCAAGGUUCUGUAGUAUGCUUCGUCACGAACGGCAUUUUGCUUCCAAUGUAUCCUCCAUUGCUUCUGAAGCAACAAAAAUUUACAUCGAUGUAAAGCAUUGUGACUGAAGUUUGCUUCCAUUUGAUAGAUAUGUGUGUCGGUGGUCUCUAUUACAUGCUUCAACUUUUAGUGUGUUAUGCUUCCUAUUAUCAAUAAAUGUGCUUCUGUUCCGAAACAACACAUGUAUUACACUUCCCUUAAAGAACAUGUAUUACGAUUCAACCUUGAAUACGUUAUGUCUCCUAAUACCUAAAUAUAUGCUUCCUUCUAUCCAUACAGAUGUUAGGUACAUUACUCGAUGGUAUCUGAUGGAUGCAUGCAUUGGCCAUCCCGCAAAGUAGUAGCUUCAAGUGUUGUCUUGAUCAUGCGCAUCUAGAUGUGUUAGAGGAGCACAUUGAUCACCUUGAAAAGAAAUAUCUUCAUGAAUAGCUUGCACCCACGACAAAAUGCUCAAUGAUGGGACACCAUGACCGCUUUGACGAGGCCGCCGGCGCUGCUGUUCACCACGAUGGGAUGGAUAUGGUGGGCUAGGCACCAGGCAGACUGGGAGCUUCUUCUUCCAUAGCUGCUACCUUGGGCUCUAAAACAUAUGCAAAAUUCAAAUUUAGAAUCACUUGUGAUAUUUCAUGGAAACAUCAAUGAGAAACAAUGAAGGGUUGAGAGUACGG